UGCUCAAUGGACGGGCAGAAUUUAGUCAAACUCAGGCCCGAUCCAAUCAGAUUUUUGGGCCUCCCAAAACUCAGGCCCUAGAUCUGAGCCCGCUGAUAUUGCUUUCAGGAUCCCGAACUUUCUAAAACAUUUGAAAACUCUUCUAGCCAAACAAGACCGAAGGAUUUGGAGCGCAAUGCAUCAAUUAUAAACUAUAUCAUUAGGGG
RNAcentral lists this long non-coding RNA (206 nucleotides) under Elaeis guineensis (African oil palm). RNAcentral's name for it is "long non-coding RNA (EGUI_LNC027866)". Lineage: Eukaryota; Viridiplantae; Streptophyta; Magnoliopsida; Arecales; Arecaceae. The record is from RNAcentral.